AUUGAACGCUGGCGGCAUGCCUUACACAUGCAAGUCGAACGGUAACAGGGUGCUUGCACCGCUGACGAGUGGCGAACGGGUGAGUAAUGCGUCGGAACGUGCCGAGUAGUGGGGGAUAACGCAGCGAAAGUUGUGCUAAUACCGCAUACGUACUGAGGUAGAAAGUGGGGGACCUUCGGGCCUCACGCUAUUCGAGCGGCCGACGUCUGAUUAGCUAGUAGGUGAGGUAAAGGCUCACCUAGGCGACGAUCAGUAGCGGGUCUGAGAGGAUGAUCCGCCACACUGGGACUGAGACACGGCCCAGGCUCCUACGGGAGGCAGCAGUGGGGAAUUUUGGACAAUGGGCGAAAGCCUGAUCCAGCCAUGCCGCGUGUCUGAAGAAGGCCUUCGGGUUGUAAAGGACUUUUGUCAGGGAGGAAAUCCCUAGUGCUAAUAACACUGGGGGAUGACAGUACCUGAAGAAUAAGCACCGGCUAACUACGUGCCAGCCGCCGCAGUAA
Molecule: ribosomal RNA, 500 nt
Filed under: uncultured bacterium
Lineage: Bacteria
Description: partial 16S ribosomal RNA
Rfam family: Bacterial small subunit ribosomal RNA
Source: RNAcentral